Molecule: ribosomal RNA, 253 nt
Filed under: uncultured bacterium
Lineage: Bacteria
Description: partial 16S ribosomal RNA
Rfam family: Bacterial small subunit ribosomal RNA
Source: RNAcentral
UACGGAGGAUGCAAGCGUUAUCCGGAAUCAUUGGGCGUAAAGCGUCCGUAGGUGGCUUUUCAAGUCUGCCGUCAAAGUCCGGGGCUUAACCCCAGAAAGGCGGUGGAAACUGAAUAGCUAGAGUGCAGUAGGGGUAGAGGGAAUUCCCGGUGUAGCGGUGAAAUGCGUAGAGAUCGGGAAGAACACCCGUGGCGAAGGCGCUCUACUGGACUGCAACUGACACUCAGGGACGAAAGCUAGGGGAGCGAAUGGG